Molecule: ribosomal RNA, 18 nt
Filed under: Megalophaedusa micropeas
Lineage: Eukaryota; Metazoa; Mollusca; Gastropoda; Stylommatophora; Clausiliidae
Description: partial 18S rRNA
Source: RNAcentral
CCUGCGGAAGGAGCAUUA